This is a long non-coding RNA of Bufo bufo (common toad), 151 nucleotides long. RefSeq lists it as uncharacterized. Lineage: Eukaryota; Metazoa; Chordata; Amphibia; Anura; Bufonidae. The record is from RefSeq and is a predicted model, not a curated record. The transcript has 3 exons.
AGCCCCUCUUGAAUUAUUUUAUUGUACUCACCAUCACCACCUCCUCAGGCAGAGAGUUCCAUAGUCUUACUGCUCUUACCGUAAAGAAUCCUUUUCUAUGUUUGUGUAAAAACCUUCAUUCCUCUAGACGCAGAGGAAGUCCCCUCGGCAC